This 422-nucleotide long non-coding RNA is filed under the name Neogobius melanostomus (round goby). RNAcentral describes it as "lncRNA (ENSNMLG00000013199.1)". Lineage: Eukaryota; Metazoa; Chordata; Actinopteri; Gobiiformes; Gobiidae. The record is from RNAcentral.
UGACCGGCUCAGUGACCAUGUGAUCGUGUCUGGGCCAGAGGACGAGGGGCUGUACGACUGUGUGUGCACAUGGACUCACCAGCAGCACCUGUACCGCUCUGUGGGCUCCAAACCAGUGUGUCUCAAAGGUAAGUCCACCAGUGUCCGGAGACAGCCUGACCACAGCUAAUGGCACGUCUCCCCACAGAGCCGACCAUUGUUCUGGAUGAAGUGAUGAUCCUGACUCCAACUGAGGAAGAGCAGCUCGCCGAUGCAGGUUCCCGGCUGCUGCUCAACUGCUCAGUGCUCUGUGGCACCAACGUCCCGCAGCACAACUGUAAGGCAUGGUGGCGCACUGAAACAUCAGCUUUAACCUCUAAGCGCUACAACCGGACCAAAGUGUGAGUACAUCCGAAUCGAGCAGAUUGGUAAGAGGUCUAAGC